UCAAGCUUUCAAGUAAAGCUUUGAAAAAGUUAAGAAGGAUUUACGGGAAUAUAAUUAUAGCGAUUUUCUGUGGAGGUAAAUAGAUGACAGUUGUGCAUAUGCUAGUUAAAGAUGGAAUAGAACGCUAGACAAUUUGUGUUAUGGGUUUCUAAUGUAAGCUAGAUUUGUACUUUUUAGAAGAGGACAGUUUGGAAAUUAAACCGUACAAUUAUAAGAAACCAUUCUUUAUUAUAAUUAUAAAUAGAAAUCUAGGGCAUGCAUGAGCUACCAAUAACACAAAAACAAAAUGCAGAC
RNAcentral lists this long non-coding RNA (294 nucleotides) under Mytilus galloprovincialis (Mediterranean mussel). Lineage: Eukaryota; Metazoa; Mollusca; Bivalvia; Mytilida; Mytilidae. The record is from RNAcentral.